AUGCGAACUAACCUUUGUCACCAUGACUUGGAAGGAUUUCAGAACAAAUUCAAUCCAUUAUCAGUUAACCUAGGUAAUAAGCACGAUAACUUAGGGACUGGGACAAAAGAACACGAGUUGAACAUGUUCAGAACAGUGUGCAGAGUUUCAAGUUCAAGGAUAUAUAGCAUUCUAUUAACUUCCAAUGUAGUUAUAGAGAGAAAUAAAAUUCUGAUCUUUCGGCUAAAUGACUUUCAUUUUCUUAACCAGUCUGAUGAUGCACAUAGUGCAGAGAAAUUAACAAUUGAGAAAAAGUACAAUAAAUACUUUGAGAAAAUAUUAAAAUUACUUUCAUAA
This 336-nucleotide ribosomal RNA is filed under the name Triticum aestivum (bread wheat). RNAcentral describes it as "partial small subunit ribosomal RNA". Lineage: Eukaryota; Viridiplantae; Streptophyta; Magnoliopsida; Poales; Poaceae. The record is from RNAcentral.